AUUGAACGCUGGCGGCAGGCCUAACACAUGCAAGUCGAACGGUGGCAGGAAGAAGCUUGCUUCUUUGCUGACGAGUGGCGGACGGGUGAGUAAUGUCUGGGAAACUGCCCGAUGGAGGGGGAUAACUACUGGAAACGGUAGCUAAUACCGCAUAACGUCUUCGGACUAAAGAGGGGGACCGUUCGGGCCGUCUUGCCAUCGGAUGUGCCCAGAUGGGAUUAGCUAGUAGGUGGGGUAACGGG
RNAcentral lists this ribosomal RNA (242 nucleotides) under uncultured bacterium. RNAcentral's name for it is "partial 16S ribosomal RNA". It matches the Rfam family "Bacterial small subunit ribosomal RNA", at positions 30 to 264 of the family's 1533-position model. The record is from RNAcentral.